Ribosomal RNA from Quercus robur (English oak), 119 nucleotides. NCBI's taxonomy places the organism in Eukaryota, Viridiplantae, Streptophyta, Magnoliopsida, Fagales, Fagaceae. The record is from RefSeq and is a predicted model, not a curated record.
AGGUGCGAUCAUUCCAACACUAAUGCACCGGAUCCAAUCAGAACUCUACAGUUAAGCGUGUCAGGGCGAGAUUAGUACUAGGAUGGGUGACCUCCUGGGAAGUCCUUGUGUUGCACCCC